RNAcentral lists this ribosomal RNA (253 nucleotides) under uncultured bacterium. RNAcentral describes it as "partial 16S ribosomal RNA". It matches the Rfam family "Bacterial small subunit ribosomal RNA", at positions 524 to 776 of the family's 1533-position model. The record is from RNAcentral.
UACGUAGGUGGCAAGCGUUGUCCGGAUUUACUGGGCGUAAAGAGCGCGCAGGCGGUCGGAUAAGUCGAAUGUGAAAGCCCCCGGCUCAACUGGGGAGGGUCAUUCGAUACUGUUCGACUCGAAGGCAGGAGAGGGUAGUGGAAUUCCCGGUGUAGUGGUGAAAUGCGUAGAUAUCGGGAGGAACACCAGUGGCGAAGGCGACUACCUGGCCUGUUCUUGACGCUGAGGCGCGAAAGCUAGGGGAGCAAACGGG